GACGAACGCUGGCGGCGUGCUUAACACAUGCAAGUCGAACGGAAAGGCCCUUCGGGUACUCGAGUGGCGAACGGGUGAGUAACACGUGGGUGAUCUGCCCUGCACUUCGGGAUAAGCCUGGGAAACUGGGUCUAAUACCGGAUAUGACUACGGAUCGCAUGGUCUGUGGUGGAAAGCUUUUGCGGUGUGGGAUGGGCCCGCGGCCUAUCAGCUUGUUGGUGGGGUAAGCCUACCAAGCGACGACGGGUAGCCGGCCUGAGAGGGUGACCGGCCACACUGGGACUGAGAUACGGCCCAGACUCCUACGGGAGGCGANCAGUGGGGAAGUAUUGCACAAUGGGCGCAAGCCUGAUGCAGCGACGCCGCGUGAGGGACGACGGCCUC
Molecule: ribosomal RNA, 384 nt
Filed under: uncultured bacterium
Lineage: Bacteria
Description: bacterial SSU rRNA
Rfam family: Bacterial small subunit ribosomal RNA
Source: RNAcentral